This is a long non-coding RNA of Epinephelus moara (kelp grouper), 1502 nucleotides long. RefSeq lists it as uncharacterized. Lineage: Eukaryota; Metazoa; Chordata; Actinopteri; Perciformes; Serranidae. The transcript is spliced from 4 exons. The record is from RefSeq and is a predicted model, not a curated record.
UGCACUGAGAAAAUAUUUGAAAAAGAAGCCCCAAGAAGCUGCUGCAGAGGGGCCUUCUCUAACAUCUCCUCCACUCGCUGAAGAAUCUACAAGUCACGCAACAAGCAGCAGCACGGCUGGAUUCAGCACACCACCUCACGACUUCCAGUGAGACACAGCCUGAAUCAGGCUACCUAAAGCCAAAGAAAAGAGAAGCAGAUGGAUCGCUGCAAUUAGGAGAAACAACUGAAAUCCAGGCACCAAAACUUGGAUCUGUGGUUCCCAUUUCGUGUCAGGUAAAAAGAGUGAUGAUCCUCUACACCCAGACCAUGUGCCAAGUUUAUUCAGUUUCACCUCCACCGCUGAUAAGACUCGGGCUGUCAACAACCUGGAGAGAUAUCUAUGAUCUCAAAACUUUUCUGACAAAAGAUUUGACAAGAGAAAUAGAGGGCUAGCUGCCAAAGCUCCUCUGAACUUGCAUCAGACUCCUGCGUCAGAGCAGGAAGUACAUGCAGAUCAAGCAGAGGUACAAACUGAGACUGGAGUCCAAGGCACUGAGGUCCAGACAGAGGAGACACACAAUGACAUUGACUCAUUACAUGGGCAGAUUAAAUAUUUAAACAUCCAAUGUCAAUCACUCAGAGAUAAAGUUCACAAACUAGAAAGUGAGUUGAAGCAUCAUACCCUUGAUGCUUCACAAUUUGAUGACAGCAAAAUGAAAUUUUUCACGGGACUACCCAAUUUACAGACUUUCAUGUUAUUAUUUAGUUAUGUAUCUUCAGUUUUUCCUGCUACUCCAAAGCUGCCCCUGAAGCCAACUCAGGAACUGCUUCUUACGCUGAUGAAGCUGUGCCUCAAUCUGUCAGAGGAGUUUUUAGGCUACCUCUUUCGGAUUCACCAGUCAACAGUAUCAAGAGUCUUUCACCGUUGGAUACAUGUGAUGGCAAGCAGGCUUCAUCCUCUAAUAUUGUGGCCAGAAAGAGAAGACCUAAGACACAGCUUACCAAUGUGUUUUCGGACAUUUUUUAAGAACAGUGUAAGCAUAAUCGACUGCUUUGAGGUGUUCAUAGAGCGUCCUUCUGACUUAAAAGCUCGAGCUCAAACUUGGAGCAAUUACAAACAACACAACACGAUUAAGUUUCUUAUUUCAGUCACCCCACAAGGAAGCAUCUCCUUCGUGUCCAAGGCCUGGGGUGGACGGGUUACAGACAAACACCUUACAGAACACAGUGGGUUCCUUGAUAAGCUCCUACUAGGGGGACUUGGUACUGGCUGACCGAGGUUUCACGAUUGAGGAUAGUGUUGGUCUAUUCUGUGCAGAACUAAUAACAUCUCCAUUCACACGAGGGAAGAAACAGCUUAGCCAAAAAGAGACUGAAUCUGCUCGAGAAAUUUCUCGUGUGAGAAUCCUAGUUGAAAGAGUGAUCGGAAUGUUGAGGCAGAAAUAUACUAUUCUGGGCUCAACACUGCCUCUAAGUCUCAUUAGAGUGGAACAAAACGGAAGUGGAGGACAGCCUUAUAGA